UGGGGAAUUUUGGACAAUGGGCGCAAGCCUGAUCCAGCCAUGCCGCGUGCAGGAUGAAGGCCUUCGGGUUGUAAACUGCUUUUGUACGGAACGAAACGGCGAGCUCUAAUACAGUUUGCUAAUGACGGUACCGUAAGAAUAAGCACCGGCUAACUACGUGCCAGCAGCCGCGGUAAUACGUAGGGUGCAAGCGUUAAUCGGAAUUACUGGGCGUAAAGCGUGCGCAGGCGGUUAUGCAAGACAGAUGUGAAAUCCCCGGGCUCAACCUGGGAACUGCAUUUGUGACUGCAUGGCUAGAGUGCGGCAGAGGGGGAUGGAAUUCCGCGUGUAGCAGUGAAAUGCGUAGAUAUGCGGAGGAACACCGAUGGCGAAGGCAAUCCCCUGGGCCUGCACUGACGCUCAUGCACGAAAGCGUGGGGAGCAAACAGGAUUAGAUACCCUGGUAGUCCACGCCCUAAACGAUGUCAACUGGUUGUUGGGAAGGUUCCUUCUCAGUAACGUAGCUAACGCGUGAAGUUGACCGCCUGGGGAGUACGGCCGCAAGGUUG
RNAcentral lists this ribosomal RNA (548 nucleotides) under uncultured bacterium. RNAcentral's name for it is "bacterial SSU rRNA". It matches the Rfam family "Bacterial small subunit ribosomal RNA", at positions 355 to 896 of the family's 1533-position model. The record is from RNAcentral.